Molecule: ribosomal RNA, 477 nt
Filed under: uncultured Planctomycetota bacterium
Lineage: Bacteria; Pseudomonadati; Planctomycetota
Description: bacterial SSU rRNA
Rfam family: Bacterial small subunit ribosomal RNA
Source: RNAcentral
UUCGCAAUGCCCGAAAGGGUGACGAAGCGACGCCGCGUGUGGGAAGAAGGCCUUCGGGUUGUAAACCACUGUCGGGAGUUAAGAAAUGCAAGGAUAUUAAUAGUGUCUUUGUUUGACUAAGGCUCCGGAGGAAGCCACGGCUAACUCUGUGCCAGCAGCCGCGGUAAUACAGAGGCGGCAAGCGUUGUUCGGAAUUAUUGGGCGUAAAGAGCACGUAGGCGGCUUUGCAAGUCAGUUGUGAAAGCCUUCCGCUUAAUGGAAGAACAGCAGCUGAUACUACGAAGCUUGAGUACGGGAGGGGAGAGUGGAACUUCUGGUGGAGCGGUGAAAUGCGUAGAUAUCAGAAGGAACGCCGGCGGCGAAAGCGACUCUCUGGUCCGAAACUGACGCUGAGUGUGCGAAAGCUAGGGGAGCAAACGGGAUUAGAUACCCCGGUAGUCCUAGCCCUAAACGAUGGGCACUAAGUAGAGGGGUUUU